This 427-nucleotide ribosomal RNA is filed under the name Capnocytophaga granulosa. RNAcentral describes it as "bacterial SSU rRNA". It matches the Rfam family "Bacterial small subunit ribosomal RNA", at positions 28 to 459 of the family's 1533-position model. The record is from RNAcentral. Lineage: Bacteria; Pseudomonadati; Bacteroidota; Flavobacteriia; Flavobacteriales; Flavobacteriaceae.
GAUGAACGCUAGCGGCAGGCCUAACACAUGCAAGUCGAGGGAGAAGCCCUUCGGGGCAGAAACCGGCGCACGGGUGCGUAACGCGUAUGCAACCUACCUUUCACAGGGGGAUAGCCCGAAGAAAUUUGGAUUAAUACCCCAUAAUAUUAUUGGAUGGCAUCAUUUGAUAAUUAAAAUUACGAUGGUGAAAGAUGGGCAUGCGUCCUAUUAGCUAGUUGGAGUGGUAACGGCACCCCAAGGCUACGAUAGGUAGGGGUCCUGAGAGGGAGAUCCCCCACACUGGUACUGAGACAGGGACCAGACUCCUACGGGAGGCAGCAGUGAGGAAUAUUGGUCAAUGGUCGGAAGACUGAACCAGCCAUGCCGCGUGCAGGAAGAAUGCCUUAUGGGUUGUAAACUGCUUUUAUAUGGGAAGAAUAAGGAGUAC